This 45-nucleotide non-coding RNA is filed under the name Schistosoma mattheei. The record is from RNAcentral. Lineage: Eukaryota; Metazoa; Platyhelminthes; Trematoda; Strigeidida; Schistosomatidae.
GUUCGGCUGACGAGUCCCAGACAGGACGAAACGAAAGUCCAAGAU